CUGUACGGGCACUAUGGUUGGCAGUCCAGGGUCUUAGGUCGGCUGUUCAGGUUCUUUAGUGGGCUGUUCAGACUCUUAUUUAGCU
Long non-coding RNA from Nanorana parkeri, 85 nucleotides. RefSeq lists it as uncharacterized. NCBI's taxonomy places the organism in Eukaryota, Metazoa, Chordata, Amphibia, Anura, Dicroglossidae. The transcript is spliced from 3 exons. The record is from RefSeq and is a predicted model, not a curated record.